Long non-coding RNA from Zophobas morio, 354 nucleotides. RefSeq lists it as uncharacterized. The record is from RefSeq and is a predicted model, not a curated record. Lineage: Eukaryota; Metazoa; Arthropoda; Insecta; Coleoptera; Tenebrionidae. The transcript has 3 exons.
AUUUGUGAGCUAUAAAAUUUCCACGUAAAAAGUUAACGGUCCUUUUUACAGUUAAUAUCGUUGCCCUUGAUGACUAGUCCUGAAAUGUAAGCCCGUUUACCAGCGAGUCUGUUGAAAACUUUCCAACUCUUAGCAGCUCCUUUGCAUGCCUUUCCUUGUUUACCGGAAAACUGAAAAGUCUGUGCCCAAGGAAUUGAAACUCUCCGUUUUCUGACUGAAGAUAGUGGAAGGUAGUAAGCAAAAUCAGAGGACAUCAUCACUGGAUCACAGGAAAACAUUACUUUUCUCAAAUGCGGUAGAUUUGAUACGUCAGAUGUUGUCCUUUGUAUCUUAAAGUUAGAUGAAAGUGUUAAG